CCUACGGGAGACAGCAGUGGGGAAUAUUGCACAAUGGCGGAAACCCUGAUGCAGCGACGCCGCGUGAGUGAAGAAGUAUUUCGGUAUGUAAAGCUCUAUCAGCAGGGAAGCAAUAUCGACCUUUUGGUCGCCAGACGGUACCUGAUUAAGAAGCCCCGUCUCACUCCGUGCCAGCAGCCGCGUUAAUACGUAGGGGGCAAGCGUUAUCCGGAUUUACGGGGUGUAAAGGGAGCGUAGAGGGCAGCUCAAGUGUGAAGGGAAAUGCCGGGGCUGAAACCCGGAACUGCUUUGGAAACUGGGCAGCUAGAGGGCAGGAGAGGUAAGUGGAAUUCCGAGGGGAGCGGUGAAAAGCG
This 353-nucleotide ribosomal RNA is filed under the name uncultured bacterium. RNAcentral describes it as "partial 16S ribosomal RNA". It matches the Rfam family "Bacterial small subunit ribosomal RNA", at positions 338 to 690 of the family's 1533-position model. The record is from RNAcentral.